GUGGGGGAUAACAGGGUGAUCCUGGGGUGCCGAGAAAAGCCUCGACGCGAUGGUGCCAGCCGCCCGUACCCUAAACCGACACAGGUGAUCAGGUAGAGAAUACUAAGGCGAUCGAGAGAAUCAUGGUUAAGGAACUCGGCAAAAUGCCCCCGUAACUUCGGGAGAAGGGGGGCCCCAACCUUGACAGGACUACGCGUUCUGGAGGGGAUCGGGGCCGCAGAGACCAGGGGGAAGCGACUGUUUAUCAAAAACACAGGUCC
RNAcentral lists this ribosomal RNA (260 nucleotides) under uncultured Symbiodinium. Its description in RNAcentral is "partial Bacterial large subunit ribosomal RNA". It matches the Rfam family "Bacterial large subunit ribosomal RNA", at positions 1579 to 1822 of the family's 2925-position model. Lineage: Eukaryota; Dinophyceae; Suessiales; Symbiodiniaceae. The record is from RNAcentral.